UUCCGGGGUAGCUCAGUCGGUAGAGCAAGUGGCUGUUAACCACUGGGUCGUGGGUUCGAGUCCCUCCCCCGGAGG
RNAcentral lists this transfer RNA (75 nucleotides) under candidate division CPR1 bacterium ADurb.Bin160. RNAcentral's name for it is "tRNA-Asn". It matches the Rfam family "tRNA". Rfam says of the family: Transfer RNA (tRNA) molecules are approximately 80 nucleotides in length. Their secondary structure includes four short double-helical elements and three loops (D, anti-codon, and T loops). The record is from RNAcentral. Lineage: Bacteria; candidate division CPR1.